This 905-nucleotide ribosomal RNA is filed under the name Promicromonospora sp. Its description in RNAcentral is "bacterial SSU rRNA". It matches the Rfam family "Bacterial small subunit ribosomal RNA", at positions 78 to 996 of the family's 1533-position model. The record is from RNAcentral. Lineage: Bacteria; Bacillati; Actinomycetota; Actinomycetes; Micrococcales; Promicromonosporaceae.
GCUUGCUGGGUGGAUCAGUGGCGAACGGGUGAGUAACACGUGAGCAACCUGCCCUCCACUUCGGGAUAAGCCUUGGAAACGAGGUCUAAUACCGGAUACGAGCACUUACCGCAUGGUGGGUGUUGGAAAGUUUUUCGGUGGGGGAUGGGCUCGCGGCCUAUCAGCUUGUUGGUGGGGUAAUGGCCUACCAAGGCGUCGACGGGUAGCCGGCCUGAGAGGGCGACCGGCCACACUGGGACUGAGACACGGCCCAGACUCCUACGGGAGGCAGCAGUGGGGAAUAUUGCACAAUGGGCGAAAGCCUGAUGCAGCGACGCCACGUGAGGGAUGACGGCCUUCGGGUUGUAAACCUCUUUCAGCAGGGAAGAAGCGCAAGUGACGGUACCUGCAGAAGAAGCGCCGGCUAACUACGUGCCAGCAGCCGCGGUAAUACGUAGGGCGCAAGCGUUGUCCGGAAUUAUUGGGCGUAAAGAGCUCGUAGGCGGUCUGUCGCGUCUGGUGUGAAAUCCCAUGGCUCAACCAUGGGCUUGCAUCGGGUACGGGCAGACUAGAGUGCUGUAGGGGAGACUGGAAUUCCUGGUGUAGCGGUGGAAUGCGCAGAUAUCAGGAGGAACACCGAUGGCGAAGGCAGGUCUCUGGGCAGUUACUGACGCUGAGGAGCGAAAGCAUGGGGAGCGAACAGGAUUAGAUACCCUGGUAGUCCAUGCCGUAAACGUUGGGCACUAGGUGUGGGGCGGGUUCCACUCGUUCUGUGCCGCAGCUAACGCAUUAAGUGCCCCGCCUGGGGAGUACGGCCGCAAGGCUAAAACUCAAAGGAAUUGACGGGGGCCCGCACAAGCGGCGGAGCAUGCGGAUUAAUUCGAUGCAACGCGAAGAACCUUACCAAGGCUUGACAUGUACGAGAA